AGGUGAUAUAUUGAAAAUAGGUAUAUGAAAUUAAUAUUAUUUUAAGGAUAAUGAAUCAAAAUUUUAAAUAUGAUAAAAAGAUAUAUUUUAUAUCAAUCAUAAUCAUGAAAAUGAUAAAAAUAAAAACUAGUGGAAUGAAACAUCUGAGUAACUAGUUAAAUAACCAACAGGGAUAAUAUAAGUAACGGUGAGUGAAAAUAUUAAAAUCUUAAAGUAUUGCCAUGAGGUAAGAAUAAAGUAGUUUCCAACUACUAAGAAUAUAAAUAAAAUUUUAGAUAAAAGUACUGUAAGGGAAAAUUAAUAAAUAGAAUAAUAAAGAGCAGUCAUAGUAUGGCGUACCUCUUGUAUAAUGGGCCAGUGAGUUAUAUAAUUAAGUGAAAAAUAGAUAGUUAUUUUUAUAUAUAAUUAGAUAGAUAAUACCUACCCUUAGGGUGGGUAUCCCCCAACAAAGCUGGGUAAUGGCCCCGCGUAGCGGGGCUAUCCCCGCCCUUCGGGCGGUAAUUUAAUUAUAUAGGCCCGAAAGCAAACGAUCUACACAUGUCCAAGUGUAUAUAUAACUUAAAAAAAUAUAUAUAUGACUCAAUAGGUAAUUGUAGCAAUAAUUUCUAAAGAGGUGUGUGUAGUUGUGACAGACAAAUCUGGUUUGCAGAUAGCUGGUUUUCUGCGAAAUAUAUUUUAGUAUAGCCUUUAUUAUUUUUUAAACUGGUACAGCACUUAAAUAACUUUGGGGAAUUAGAAUAUAAUUUUAUCAAAAUAUUUAAACCUCGGAAUCAGUUAAUAAUUUACAUAAGGAGUCAGACUUAUUGCGAUAAGGUAGUAGGUCGAGAAGGAAACAACCUAGACUAUUAAAUGAAUGUCCCAAAUAUUAAUUAAGUGAACAAAAUCUAUCCUACUUUAAACGAGUAAAUACUCGGGGAAUUAAAUUAUAGACAAUUAGUAAGUGGGUUUGACAAUAAUCAACUUUUAAUGAACAUGUAACAAUGCACUAAUUUUAUAUAUAUAAAUUAUUUAUAUUUAUUAAUAAUAGAGAAAAUAUACGGGUCUAAAUUAAUAACAGUAUUAUAGAUAUAAUGCCCACCCUUCGGGAGGGAAUCCCUCAGCUUAGCUGGGGGAUAAAAGUUAUAUGGUAGCAGAAUAUAUAAUGUAAAAUUAUAAAGAGAUUGCUGGCUUGAGUAACGAUAGAUAAUAUAAGAUUAUCCCCUUAUUCAUAAGGUUUAACUAUAAACGAACGGUCCCUAAGAUAAAUAUAGAAAUAUAAAAUUAAUGGGAAAAAGAACAAGAAAAGAAAAAUGAACCGUACUGUAAACCGACACAGGUAUGAUAAAUAAAGGGAAUGGGAUAACUACUUUGAAUGAACUCGGCAAAAUAAAUCGUGCGACUGUUUACCAAAAACAUAGCUUAUUGCAUACUAGUAAUAGUAAGUAUAAUAAGUGAUAUCUGCCCGGUGUUAGUUCAAUAAAUAAAAUUAUUAAAUAGAUAAAUUUAUAAAAAACUGAUAAACGGCGGUCUUAUUGUGAGGAUCCGAAGGUAGCGAAAUUCAUUGACGUAUAAUUGACGUCCUGCAUGAAUGAAUAAACGAUGCGAUAACUGUAUCCAAAGUAGACUCAGUGAAAUAGCAAUUGCGGUGAAAUUAGUACUAUUAUAUCUAAAAGAUAUUUUUACGCCGGGUUGGUGAAAAUCCAACUUUAUAGUUAUAUCUUAGAUGAAUAUUAAUAAAAAAGAAUACAAUCGAAUAAUAUUCUACUUUUAUUAUAAAAGGUAAUUUAUAUAUAUAGGCAAUAUGUAAUUUAUAAAUAACUAUAAAUAAAUGGUGAAAACGGUUAAUGACAUCUUAGUUAAAGACCGUCGGCAGUUGUAUAUGUCGCUACAGACUGGUUCACCGAGGUUAGACUGAAAUGUCUGUCUAAAUGUACAGUCGGAUUCUGUAAUAUAAUAUUUAUAUAUGCCCUGAGGGCGGUAAUUAUAUAGAGGUGAAAGAUAUAAACUCAAUAUAAAUUGGGAAUAAGCUUAUUAGUACAUAAGUAAUAAACCUUUGUAGGUCAAACCUACUUAAUUUAAUCAGAUUUGGAAGAUGCCGUAUAUCCGUAGGUUGACAAAAAGACCCUAUGCAGCUUUACUAUAUCUUUAUUUUGAUUUUUUACCUUCGGGUUUACUUUUUUUAUUCAUUUCAGUAGAUUAGGUUAUAUUUAUAUUUUAAAUAAAAUGAGAUACCUAUAUAAAUGAAAAAAGAAUCUAAUUAAUUUAAAACAUAUAUGCCCGCCAAGGUGGGGGUUAUGAUAAUAUUUAAGAAAGAGUAAAGAGGUUAGUUUCGAUGGGGCGUCGACAUCAGCGAAAGCAUCUGAUGUGUCUAAUAAUAAUGAUUUUGAUAUUAAUCAAAACUAAAUAUUUAAUUAAAUUUUUUAUUUAAUAGUAAAAUACGUACAAUAAUUCUAUAUGGUAAAUAGAAUAAAAGAUUAUAAGUAAGGAUAACAACAUAAUUGUGCGAUGAUAAUAACACAAACAAGUGAAAUUAGUACAUAAGUAGAGUGUAGUGAACAGGCAUAAACAAAUGGUAUGGAUGUCGAUAACGAAUUAAAGUUACGCUAGGGAUUAAUUGUUAGUCCCUUAUAUAUAGAAAUAUAUAUAUUAUAACAUAAUUGGGUGAAUUGCAUAAAAGUCUUAAUCAUAUCGGUAUAUGAUGAUAACUUAGAUAGAGAUAUUAAUUAUAAAAUUUAUGAAAAGAUAAUUUGCAGCGAAGUUUAUAUAAGUUAAUUUGUAUAUAUAAAAACGUUCAACGACUAGUAGAUGAGUAAACUAACAAUAAUUCUACCACGAGCGCCCAACAUCUAACAUUUAAAUAAAUAAAUUAUGAUGAUGACAUAGUCUGAACUAUAUAGAAAUAUAUAGAAGUUGAUAUAAAGAGAUCAACGAUAACAUAAUUGAACAGGGUAAUACCGCGUGAGAGUUGAUAUCGUCAGCGGUGUUUGCCACCUCGAUGUCGUCUAGACUCGUCCUCCUGGUCGCAGCAACUAGGUAGGGUAGGACUGUUCGUCCUCUAAGGAGUUACUUGAGAUGGGUUAAUUACGACGUGAGUCAGUAAUGAUUUUAUCAUCUAUGGAUCUUAACUUAUCUGUUGCCUUAAGUGUACGCAAGGAUAAUAAGGUACUUUCCUAUGGUUAAUUUAUUUAAUUUAGCUAAGAAUGUUGUGUUUACAUAUUGAAUGCAUAUCAAAUAUUAAAUCCUUCAGAUAAGUUUUUAACAUUAUAGACUAUAAUGUAUUAGUUAAUUUGUAUAAGAUUGCAAAAAUUAACCCCCAGCAAUGCUGAGGGUGGAAACUAAUUUAUAUAAUUCAUAUACCU
RNAcentral lists this ribosomal RNA (3338 nucleotides) under Metschnikowia kamakouana. RNAcentral describes it as "large subunit ribosomal RNA". The stretch from base 319 to 1616 matches the Rfam family "Bacterial large subunit ribosomal RNA", at positions 569 to 2044 of the family's 2925-position model. The record is from RNAcentral. Lineage: Eukaryota; Fungi; Ascomycota; Pichiomycetes; Serinales; Metschnikowiaceae.